This 2510-nucleotide ribosomal RNA is filed under the name Escherichia coli KTE72. RNAcentral describes it as "bacterial LSU rRNA". It matches the Rfam family "Bacterial large subunit ribosomal RNA", at positions 435 to 2925 of the family's 2925-position model. RNAcentral also lists the same sequence under 1 other name. The record is from RNAcentral. Lineage: Bacteria; Pseudomonadati; Pseudomonadota; Gammaproteobacteria; Enterobacterales; Enterobacteriaceae.
UGUCUGAAUAUGGGGGGACCAUCCUCCAAGGCUAAAUACUCCUGACUGACCGAUAGUGAACCAGUACCGUGAGGGAAAGGCGAAAAGAACCCCGGCGAGGGGAGUGAAAAAGAACCUGAAACCGUGUACGUACAAGCAGUGGGAGCCUCUUAAUGGGGUGACUGCGUACCUUUUGUAUAAUGGGUCAGCGACUUAUAUUCUGUAGCAAGGUUAACCGAAUAGGGGAGCCGAAGGGAAACCGAGUCUUAACUGGGCGUUAAGUUGCAGGGUAUAGACCCGAAACCCGGUGAUCUAGCCAUGGGCAGGUUGAAGGUUGGGUAACACUAACUGGAGGACCGAACCGACUAAUGUUGAAAAAUUAGCGGAUGACUUGUGGCUGGGGGUGAAAGGCCAAUCAAACCGGGAGAUAGCUGGUUCUCCCCGAAAGCUAUUUAGGUAGCGCCUCGUGAAUUCAUCUCCGGGGGUAGAGCACUGUUUCGGCAAGGGGGUCAUCCCGACUUACCAACCCGAUGCAAACUGCGAAUACCGGAGAAUGUUAUCACGGGAGACACACGGCGGGUGCUAACGUCCGUCGUGAAGAGGGAAACAACCCAGACCGCCAGCUAAGGUCCCAAAGUCAUGGUUAAGUGGGAAACGAUGUGGGAAGGCCCAGACAGCCAGGAUGUUGGCUUAGAAGCAGCCAUCAUUUAAAGAAAGCGUAAUAGCUCACUGGUCGAGUCGGCCUGCGCGGAAGAUGUAACGGGGCUAAACCAUGCACCGAAGCUGCGGCAGCGACACUAUGUGUUGUUGGGUAGGGGAGCGUUCUGUAAGCCUGUGAAGGUGGCCUGUGAGGGUUGCUGGAGGUAUCAGAAGUGCGAAUGCUGACAUAAGUAACGAUAAAGCGGGUGAAAAGCCCGCUCGCCGGAAGACCAAGGGUUCCUGUCCAACGUUAAUCGGGGCAGGGUGAGUCGACCCCUAAGGCGAGGCCGAAAGGCGUAGUCGAUGGGAAACAGGUUAAUAUUCCUGUACUUGGUGUUACUGCGAAGGGGGGACGGAGAAGGCUAUGUUGGCCGGGCGACGGUUGUCCCGGUUUAAGCGUGUAGGCUGGUUUUCCAGGCAAAUCCGGAAAACCAAGGCUGAGGCGUGAUGACGAGGCACUACGGUGCUGAAGCGACAAAUGCCCUGCUUCCAGGAAAAGCCUCUAAGCAUCAGGUAACAUCAAAUCGUACCCCAAACCGACACAGGUGGUCAGGUAGAGAAUACCAAGGCGCUUGAGAGAACUCGGGUGAAGGAACUAGGCAAAAUGGUGCCGUAACUUCGGGAGAAGGCACGCUGAUAUGUAGGUGAAGCGACUUGCUCGUGGAGCUGAAAUCAGUCGAAGAUACCAGCUGGCUGCAACUGUUUAUUAAAAACACAGCACUGUGCAAACACGAAAGUGGACGUAUACGGUGUGACGCCUGCCCGGUGCCGGAAGGUUAAUUGAUGGGGUUAGCGGCAACGCGAAGCUCUUGAUCGAAGCCCCGGUAAACGGCGGCCGUAACUAUAACGGUCCUAAGGUAGCGAAAUUCCUUGUCGGGUAAGUUCCGACCUGCACGAAUGGCGUAAUGAUGGCCAGGCUGUCUCCACCCGAGACUCAGUGAAAUUGAACUCGCUGUGAAGAUGCAGUGUACCCGCGGCAAGACGGAAAGACCCCGUGAACCUUUACUAUAGCUUGACACUGAACAUUGAGCCUUGAUGUGUAGGAUAGGUGGGAGGCUUUGAAGUGUGGACGCCAGUCUGCAUGGAGCCGACCUUGAAAUACCACCCUUUAAUGUUUGAUGUUCUAACGUUGGCCCGUAAUCCGGGUUGCGGACAGUGUCUGGUGGGUAGUUUGACUGGGGCGGUCUCCUCCUAAAGAGUAACGGAGGAGCACGAAGGUUGGCUAAUCCUGGUCGGACAUCAGGAGGUUAGUGCAAUGGCAUAAGCCAGCUUGACUGCGAGCGUGACGGCGCGAGCAGGUGCGAAAGCAGGUCAUAGUGAUCCGGUGGUUCUGAAUGGAAGGGCCAUCGCUCAACGGAUAAAAGGUACUCCGGGGAUAACAGGCUGAUACCGCCCAAGAGUUCAUAUCGACGGCGGUGUUUGGCACCUCGAUGUCGGCUCAUCACAUCCUGGGGCUGAAGUAGGUCCCAAGGGUAUGGCUGUUCGCCAUUUAAAGUGGUACGCGAGCUGGGUUUAGAACGUCGUGAGACAGUUCGGUCCCUAUCUGCCGUGGGCGCUGGAGAACUGAGGGGGGCUGCUCCUAGUACGAGAGGACCGGAGUGGACGCAUCACUGGUGUUCGGGUUGUCAUGCCAAUGGCACUGCCCGGUAGCUAAAUGCGGAAGAGAUAAGUGCUGAAAGCAUCUAAGCACGAAACUUGCCCCGAGAUGAGUUCUCCCUGAGACUUAGAGUCUCCUGAAGGAACGUUGAAGACGACGACGUUGAUAGGCCGGGUGUGUAAGCGCAGCGAUGCGUUGAGCUAACCGGUACUAAUGAACCGUGAGGCUUAACCUU